Molecule: non-coding RNA, 120 nt
Organism: Acidithrix ferrooxidans
Lineage: Bacteria; Bacillati; Actinomycetota; Acidimicrobiia; Acidimicrobiales; Acidimicrobiaceae
Source: Rfam
GGAGGUAGGCCCUCCGGGAUCGCCUUUUGGGAGGAGAUUCCAAACCACCGUACGGGGCAUUAGCUAAAGACUGUUGUCCAAAGCGGUACUAAAAAAGUUAGAGCAAUGACUCUUUCAGGU